This 460-nucleotide ribosomal RNA is filed under the name uncultured bacterium. RNAcentral's name for it is "partial 16S ribosomal RNA". It matches the Rfam family "Bacterial small subunit ribosomal RNA", at positions 338 to 795 of the family's 1533-position model. The record is from RNAcentral.
CCUACGGGAGGCAGCAGUGAGGAAUAUUGGUCAAUGGGCGCGAGCCUGAACCAGCCAAGUAGCGUGAAGGAUGACUGCCCUACGGGUUGUAAACUUCUUUUAUAGAGGAAUAAAGUGAGGCACGUGUGCCUUUUUGUAUGUACUUUAUGAGUAAGGAUCGGCUAACUACGUGCCAGCAGCCGCGGUAAUACGGAGGAUCCGAGCGUUAACCGGAUUUAUUGGGUUUAAAGGGAGCGUAGAUGGGUUGUUAAGUCAGUUGUGAAAGUUUGCGGCUCAACCGUAAAACUGCAAUUGAUACUGGAAGGCUUGAGUACAGGUGAGGUAGGCGGAAUUCGUGGUGUAGCGGUGAAAUGCUUAGAUAUCACGAAGAACUCCGAUUGCGAAGGCAGCUUACUAAACUGCCACUGACAUUGAUGCUCGAAAGUGUGGGUAUCAAACAGGAUUAGAUACCCCUGUAGUC